Rattus norvegicus (Norway rat) is the source of this 484-nucleotide long non-coding RNA. RefSeq lists it as uncharacterized. Lineage: Eukaryota; Metazoa; Chordata; Mammalia; Rodentia; Muridae. The record is from RefSeq and is a predicted model, not a curated record.
AGUGGUUAGAGAUACUGCCAACCCCCGAUGACCCCGCCUUACCCUCCUCCUCCUGUUAACAAAAGCCUGCGCCGAUAGGCCAAGAGGAGAGAGAGUUCGAAGGGGCGGAGCUGGGUGCAACCCAGAGGUCUGAGCCUACGCGUGGCGGUCUCCCGGUGUCGGCGUGCUGGUCACUUGCGGGCAGGAGCAGAGGCGACCGACCGUCUUACGCCCCGCCACUGAAACGCUAGUCAUACCCAUUUAUGUAUUCCUUUGGGCUUCGGCUCCAAAACGAGAACGGCAAUACAUCUAAACGUCCCAUGUAUUAUUGCAAAUGCUUCACACAUGAGAACCUGUGUUCUACGCUCAGCUCCACAAAAUGAAAAUUGCAACCUAGUACCAGCCUUGUUCUAAGCACCAUGCCUGGCUCCUGGCUGUAUAGAAAGUCACCAUGGGAGAGAUAUCCUUGGAGGGACAAUGUAAAUAAAACAUUCGAGAAACUGCA